AUGCUGAAGAUGGGAUUUGAUGUGAGAUGGGUAGAUCUAAUUAUGGCAUGCGUUAAAUCUGUGACUUAUUCAGUGAGGUUUAAUUCACUGGUAACAGAAAGGUUUACUCCAUCUCGAGGCCUACGACAGGGCGACCCACUUAGCCCAUAUCUAUUCCUAUUGGUGGCAGAGGGUUUUUCUAUCUUACUUUCGGAUGCAGAAGAGAGUGGAAUUUGA
This 216-nucleotide ribosomal RNA is filed under the name Triticum aestivum (bread wheat). RNAcentral's name for it is "partial small subunit ribosomal RNA". The record is from RNAcentral. Lineage: Eukaryota; Viridiplantae; Streptophyta; Magnoliopsida; Poales; Poaceae.